CAAGUCACACAUCAACAUCUUUGUUACAUUCAUCGCAAACACCAAAGUAAUUGUUCAAGAAUUGACCUUAGUCACAAAGGUAUCUUAGAUAAAAUAAACAGAUAGAUAUUUCACAUCCCUGUCUAAAAGUGACGUUUGUCACCAAACUAAUAGUCCUAACAGACAGUGCUAGCAACUAAUUAUUCUUGGUGCCAGGAGCAAAUAACUGAAGUUGCUGAAUCUCUCCAUGUCCUGCAAAUGCACAACACAUUAGAAACAGCCAUCACUUGUUGAAACAAAUAAAAUUAUCUAUAAAGAACGUUACAUGUGUACUGCUAGAAGAAAUCAAGCAACAACAAUCUUUUCCACUUUAACAUAUAUUUGAGCAUUUAUAGGAAAUACAUUAAUUCACACUGAACAUUCUCACACCAAGAAUAAAGUUUAAAUUCCUCUAGUCAAUACUGAAAACUUAGUACAUAUUGACACAGUCACAACUACAAAUGCAAAUACUGAAUUGCUAAAAAUUGUAAAGCAGAGGAUAGGUGAGCUGAGCUAUUGCCAACAGCCUGCCAACUGCAUCAAUGUGAUUGAACAUGCUUCAGGAAACUACAUGAUGCAAUGGCGUGCUCAGUUAAGAUGCAUUCGUAACUAUAUUAUCUAAACUCUAAAUUAGCAUGCUAAGUGACAUGAUGCAGUAAAGUAUUUUCUAGGCUGCUCACUUGGUAUUCUUGUUGACAGCUUCAGUUGGCAAAGGGGAAGUCUAAGAGCGAGUACCAGCAGCAGCCUCAGAUUAUUAGUAGUUGAUGAUGUGCAGAGAAGCAAAUGAUAAGUUCCUAGACAGUUAUUAUUAGCCUCACAUUGCUCUACUGUCUAGCAUUUUAGUUGCUGCACAGAACAUUGACAAACACUGCUGUUAUCACAGAGCCACUACUGAACAUAUUUUUCGAUACUAAAAACAACUUUGCUGUUUAUGCAUGAAACAAUAUUUCAGAGUGAAGUUUCCUAUUGGCUCUAAAAUAAAAGUCAGGGGUUGUCAUAAGUUAACAACCUAGAGCUGUUGUGAGGAAAGCUCUUCAUUUUUCUCAGACCAUCUCGUGAAAAUCCUUGCAUUAAUCUUUAUAUACUCCUAAUCUUAUUUCUUUUUGAAAUACUAUUAACACUCUCGCUAGGAAGUAGUUGAACAAAUAUUACAAUCUGCAUAAUCUUAGUAUAAUCUGUUUCAAGCCACAUUAAUGACCAUGAAAAUAAUAUGAUUGAUGACCAUGAGUGAUAAAGCAAACAUUGGGUAGUGUUUUCAUGAAUGAAACAAAUGUCACAUGAAAAAUUACUUUGUAUCUGACAGUGUUCUCUGAGGAUUUGGUUUUCUAGAACGCCAUAUCUAUAAAUCGAUAGCCCAACAAGAAAUAGGAAGGCCACACCUUUUAGAAUCCCUGCUAUGAUGGCUUCUUUCUAGCUUUGAUUUCCCUGCAAGCAAUCAUGUAUUGAGAACUCUGAACUAAAAAUAAAAUAGGACUGGACAUAAAUUAAAUCCAAACACAAGCUAAUUUGGAGCAAAACCAAACUCUGAAGCAAAUAAAGGGAUACUAACUUCCCAAAAUAAUACAAAAAAACUCAAAAUUGGAUUUUAUGAAACAUACACAGAUACGAUAAAAGAAAUUUUAGGCAUAUCAAUAAAAAUAUUUGUUUGAGCAAUAUGGUCUUGUUCUGCACAUGCUAAAAUUAGGAACUUUCUCAAGCACCACAUCCUAACAUAUGAAAUUCUAGGCACAUAAAAAGAAAUAUUAAAGUUGGUUGUAGAGGGAUAUUAUGAGUGCACAUCAAUGGAUAAUGUGUGUGAGUUAUCAUGUUUCAUUUUUCAUCUCUAACUGUAGAUUAAGCUUGCUACUACUGUCAAUAUUAAAAAAAAACAGCAGGCCACCUUGUUCUCAUGGCUAUUCAAGAUUACAGAAUUGGUACAGAGAAAGACGAUGAUAUAGCAGUCCGGUGAAGCACCUUAAUGUGGAGAAAGUUGUUUUCCAAUCAGCCAUGUUUUAUGUUUAGAACUCAUUAUGGACAAACAAGAAACAAAGUUUUUUUUCAUCUUCAGACCUUUAGAAAACUUACCAAAAUUCACAUGCAUUUGUGAAUUGAUGGGCUUCAUCAACUCUUCUAUUUGUAAAUAUCCACUCUGACCCAUCCUGCAAUAACACAGAAAGACAAAAAACUAUCACAUUUCUCAAAGACUAAAAAUACUAUUGUUAUCCGCCCUCCUAACAGCUGAAUUCAACAACUACAGAUGGGGCUCCAUCUAGACCAAACCACAAAGGUUAUGGUCGAAGGAUAGACCAUACCCAAAAAUGUAAGUAAAAGGCAAAAUCAAACAACAAUUGCAGUAUCAUAAAAAAAAUCACCUUAUCACGAACACAAGUACUAGUAUAUGAAUCAAACUUACCUACUGGCUCAUGAGUAGUUGACUUCUGGUUUCUGCCCUUCCUACCAGGAGCCAUUUUGAUGCGGAGAUGUCGAUGGCGAGUGCUGCUGUUGGUGGUGACUAGAGUUCUGAAAGGCGUCAGUGGGUGCGGACAGCGUCGUCGUAGGUGGCUGGCGUUGGAGCAUAUGGAUGUCGUUGGAGGCUGCAGAUGGCGUCGACUGGAGUUCGGGGCCGGACGGCGUAGGCGGGUGUGGAUGGCCUCGCAGCCUCUUUCACAGCCAGACGAAGUUAGGGUUUGGGGAAGCUGCAGGAUUUAGAAGGUAGGGUUUGGGGAACGGGGAAGGGAAUAGAGAGUGACAAUGGAGAAAGAACAGAAGUGCCCUUGAUCUGACUAAGCCUAUUCUAGAAUGUGUGGGUAAAAGGAUCAUUUUACACCUAAAAUUUUGAUCUGGCGGGGGAUGCACGUGCUCACAGCGAAUUCCAUUCGCGCUCAGUAAUCUCACCGCAAAUUCAAUUCAAAGUAUAGCUACAUGGAGGCUACAGAGAGUUGCUCACAUCAAAGUUCAGAGUUCCAGGAGAGUUGCUCACCUUGCAGCUGUGCCACCCAGGCCGGAUCCGUCGGACUGGAUCCGCCGGACUGGGAGCGGAGAGGCCGCCAGGAGGGGGAGAUGGGAGAGGCCAAGAGGGAGUGGGCGACUAAGAGCUGGUAUACGCUGCAGCACCACCGGAGGCCAGAUCCAGACGACGUGGGCAGCCUCUCGCCACGAGCGCGAGGAACCGCGGACGGGAUUUCGGCGAGACGCCGCAAUGGUUCUCUCGAUAGAUGGUAGAUGACGAGCAGUGUAUUUGGUUGGGUCUUUCUUUUUUACCUCGCCG
RNAcentral lists this long non-coding RNA (3265 nucleotides) under Sorghum bicolor (sorghum). RNAcentral's name for it is "long non-coding RNA (SBIC_LNC018008)". Lineage: Eukaryota; Viridiplantae; Streptophyta; Magnoliopsida; Poales; Poaceae. The record is from RNAcentral.